CAGAGAAUAGUUUAAUGUAAAAUGCCAGCUUUGGGAGUUGGAGAUGAAGGUUCAAGUCCUUUUUUUCUGA
RNAcentral lists this transfer RNA (70 nucleotides) under Zapornia atra (Henderson crake). RNAcentral describes it as "tRNA-Pro". It matches the Rfam family "tRNA". From Rfam's summary of the family: Transfer RNA (tRNA) molecules are approximately 80 nucleotides in length. Lineage: Eukaryota; Metazoa; Chordata; Aves; Gruiformes; Rallidae. The record is from RNAcentral.